Molecule: long non-coding RNA, 487 nt
Organism: Triticum urartu
Lineage: Eukaryota; Viridiplantae; Streptophyta; Magnoliopsida; Poales; Poaceae
Source: RefSeq, a predicted model, not a curated record
CAAUGACAUCCUUUACCUGGCACUUUGCUAAUUUGCCCUCUGGCAAGUGGGUCCUGCAAAAAAAUACCAAAAUACCCUUGCCAAUCGAUUGACCAGGAAUCGCUCGAGAGCUUCGGUCGUCGUUCUCGUUCUUAUCCCCUUCUCCCGCACAGGAGACGGCGGCGGCUACAUCCCGGCCAGGAGGAUGUUGGCUAUGGCAUUGGCUGAUGAGGCAUCGCAGCAACCUACCCCAACCUCAACCUCGAAAGCUAGGAAGUUGACCCCGAAGAGAAGGAAGAUCUAGUGUUGUGCAUCAUCUUCUAUGUUCUCUAUGCUUUCGGUUGUAAUAUGUCAGACUUGGCAGCCCCUACUAAUUUGUGCAACAUCAUAGCCUUAUGUUAGAUGAUGUAUGAAAAUGUGAAAUAUCAGUUUUAUGCUAUAUUGUGUUCAAUUUGUGUGAUGGUACAUGAAUAUGUUCAUCUCAAAAGAUAUGUUAUAUUUUGGAUCA